RNAcentral lists this ribosomal RNA (497 nucleotides) under uncultured bacterium. Its description in RNAcentral is "partial 16S ribosomal RNA". It matches the Rfam family "Bacterial small subunit ribosomal RNA", at positions 28 to 507 of the family's 1533-position model. The record is from RNAcentral.
GAUGAACGCUGGCGGCGUGCCUAAUACAUGCAAGUCGAGCGAACGGACGAGAAGCUUGCUUCUCUGAUGUUAGCGGCGGACGGGUGAGUAACACGUGGAUAACCUACCUAUAAGACUGGGAUAACUUCGGGAAACCGGAGCUAAUGCCGGAUCAUAUUUUGAACCGCAUGGUUCAAAAGUGAAAGACGGUCUUGCUGUCACUUAUAGAUGGAUCCGCGCUGCAUUAGCUAGUUGGUAAGGUAACGGCUUACCAAGGCAACGAUGCAUAGCCGACCUGAGAGGGUGAUCGGCCACACUGGAACUGAGACACGGUCCAGACUCCUACGGGAGGCAGCAGUAGGGAAUCUUCCGCAAUGGGCGAAAGCCUGACGGAGCAACGCCGCGUGAGUGAUGAAGGUCUUCGGAUCGUAAAACUCUGUUAUUAGGGAAGAACAUAUGUGUAAGUAACUGUGCACAUCUUGACGGUACCUAAUCAGAAAGCCACGGCUAACUACGUG